RNAcentral lists this ribosomal RNA (464 nucleotides) under Vreelandella stevensii. Its description in RNAcentral is "partial 16S ribosomal RNA". It matches the Rfam family "Bacterial small subunit ribosomal RNA", at positions 338 to 795 of the family's 1533-position model. Lineage: Bacteria; Pseudomonadati; Pseudomonadota; Gammaproteobacteria; Oceanospirillales; Halomonadaceae. The record is from RNAcentral.
CCUACGGGAGGCAGCAGUGGGGAAUAUUGGACAAUGGGCGAAAGCCUGAUCCAGCCAUGCCGCGUGUGUGAAGAAGGCCUUCGGGUUGUAAAGCACUUUCAGUGGGGAAGAAAGCCUUGGGGCUAAUACCCUCGAGGAAGGACAUCACCCACAGAAGAAGCACCGGCUAACUCCGUGCCAGCAGCCGCGGUAAUACGGAGGGUGCGAGCGUUAAUCGGAAUUACUGGGCGUAAAGCGCGCGUAGGCGGUCUGAUAAGCCGGUUGUGAAAGCCCCGGGCUCAACCUGGGAACGGCAUCCGGAACUGUCAGGCUAGAGUGCAGGAGAGGAAGGUAGAAUUCCCGGUGUAGCGGUGAAAUGCGUAGAGAUCGGGAGGAAUACCAGUGGCGAAGGCGGCCUUCUGACUGACACUGACGCUGAGGUGCGAAAGCGUGGGUAGCAAACAGGAUUAGAUACCCCUGUAGUC